UACGUAGGGUGCGAGCGUUAAUCGGAAUUACUGGGCGUAAAGGGUGCGCAGGCGGCCCCGCAAGUCAGGCGUGAAAUCCCCGAGCUUAACUUGGGAAUUGCGUUUGAAACUACGGGGCUGGAGUGUGGCAGAGGGAGGUGGAAUUCCACGUGUAGCGGUGAAAUGCGUAGAUAUGUGGAGGAACACCGAUGGCGAAGGCAGCCUCCUGGGCCAACACUGACGCUCAUGCACGAAAGCGUGGGGAGCAAACAGGAUUAGAUACCCUGGUAGUCCACGCCCUAAACUAUGUCUACUAGUUGUUGGGGGAGUUAAAUCCCUUAGUAACGCAGCUAACGCGAGAAGUAGACCGCCUGGGGAGUACGGUCGCAAGAUUAAA
RNAcentral lists this ribosomal RNA (376 nucleotides) under uncultured bacterium. RNAcentral describes it as "bacterial SSU rRNA". It matches the Rfam family "Bacterial small subunit ribosomal RNA", at positions 524 to 898 of the family's 1533-position model. The record is from RNAcentral.